This 551-nucleotide long non-coding RNA is filed under the name Brassica napus (rape). RNAcentral's name for it is "long non-coding RNA (BNAP_LNC021829)". The record is from RNAcentral. Lineage: Eukaryota; Viridiplantae; Streptophyta; Magnoliopsida; Brassicales; Brassicaceae.
GGGGCUUGGUAUACAUUGCAUCGGAUUCCUCUUUCAGGUCUGAUAGGUAUAAGUCUCUAAAUUUGUGAUUUCCUUCUCUCCUCUCUUUGGCAUCUGAAGAUAAAAAAUAAUAAUAAUAAAAGAUUGAAAUGAUUUCCUGGAAGAGGCAGAGGGGUAGGAGUGUCUCCUGUGACCCCAUUAUUUUAAGUCUAAAGGGAAUGAUCACACAUUGUGGAAACAAGGGGUAGGAGUGUCUCCUAUGACCCCGGUAUUCGCUACACUUUGUAAAAAAAGAGCUACAAAAGUAGACAAGUCAAUGAGAUGAACAAGAUGGAAUGUAUCAGCAUCAACAUUCAUUGAAAUUGAAACUAAUGAGAUUCAGAGAAGAGAGAUAUAGGGAGAAAGGAAAUUUGAAUAAGACUACAUGUUUACUCAGAUACCUGCUAGAGUAAGAGUCCAUGUGUCCCUUGAUCGAUACUCCCAAGAUUUAGCCUACACAUUUAUAUGCAUAAAUUAAGUCAGUAGGGGGUAUGUCAGGCGGAAUCAGCUAAGCUGUGGGCUGGAAGGUUUGG